Molecule: ribosomal RNA, 500 nt
Filed under: uncultured bacterium
Lineage: Bacteria
Description: partial 16S ribosomal RNA
Rfam family: Bacterial small subunit ribosomal RNA
Source: RNAcentral
AUUGAACGCUGGCGGCAUGCCUUACACAUGCAAGUCGAACGGCGGCACGGGAGCAAUCCUGGUGGCGAGUGGCGAACGGGUGAGUAAAGUAUCGGAACGUGCCCAGUCGUGGGGGAUAACGUAGCGAAAGUUACGCUGAUACCGCAUACGAUCUAUGGAUGAAAGCGGGGGAUCGCAAGACCUCGCGCGAUUGGAGCGGCCGAUAUCAGAUUAGGUAGUUGGUGGGGUAAAGGCUCACCAAGCCGACGAUCUGUAGCUGGUCUGAGAGGACGACCAGCCACACUGGGACUGAGACACGGCCCAGACUCCUACGGGAGGCAGCAGUGGGGAAUUUUGGACAAUGGGCGCAAGCCUGAUCCAGCCAUGCCGCGUGCAGGAUGAAGGCCUUCGGGUUGUAAACUGCUUUUGUACGGAACGAAAAGGUUUGACUUAAUACGUUGGACUCAUGACGGUACCGUAAGAAUAAGCACCGGCUAACUACGUGCCAGCAGCCGCCGUAA